RNAcentral lists this transfer RNA (69 nucleotides) under Ictidomys tridecemlineatus (thirteen-lined ground squirrel). RNAcentral describes it as "Spermophilus tridecemlineatus (thirteen-lined ground squirrel) tRNA". It matches the Rfam family "tRNA". Rfam says of the family: Transfer RNA (tRNA) molecules are approximately 80 nucleotides in length. Their secondary structure includes four short double-helical elements and three loops (D, anti-codon, and T loops). Further hydrogen bonds mediate the characteristic L-shaped molecular structure. tRNAs have two regions of fundamental functional importance: the anti-codon, which is responsible for specific mRNA codon recognition, and the 3' end, to which the tRNAs corresponding amino acid is attached (by aminoacyl-tRNA synthetases). tRNAs cope with the degeneracy of the genetic code in two manners: having more than one tRNA (with a specific anti-codon) for a particular amino acid; and 'wobble' base-pairing, i.e. permitting non-standard base-pairing at the 3rd anti-codon position. The record is from Rfam by way of RNAcentral. Lineage: Eukaryota; Metazoa; Chordata; Mammalia; Rodentia; Sciuridae.
GGGGCUGUAGCUCAGUGGCAGAGCGCUUGCCUUGGGUGUGGGAGACACUGGGUUCAAUCCUCAGCACCA